Molecule: ribosomal RNA, 253 nt
Filed under: uncultured bacterium
Lineage: Bacteria
Description: partial 16S ribosomal RNA
Rfam family: Bacterial small subunit ribosomal RNA
Source: RNAcentral
UACGGAGGGGGCUAGCGUUGUUCGGAAUUACUGGGCGUAAAGCGCACGUAGGCGGACCAGCAAGUUAGGGGUGAAAUCCCGGGGCUCAACCCCGGAACUGCCUUUAAAACUGUUGGUCUGGAGGUCGAGAGAGGUGAGUGGAAUUCCGAGUGUAGAGGUGAAAUUCGUAGAUAUUCGGAGGAACACCAGUGGCGAAGGCGGCUCACUGGCUCGAUACUGACGCUGAGGUGCGAAAGCGCGGGGAGCGAACGGG